CAAGUGAAAUUGUGUGAAAGGGAAGCGUUUGCGACCAGACUUCUCCAGACGGAUCAUUUGGUGUUCUCACCGGUGCACUUCGUCUGGUCUAGGCAGCAUCGGUUUCUUUAGGGGGAUAAAGGCGUAGGGAACGUAGCUCUUUCGGGAGUGUUUAUAGCCUUUCGCGUAAUACCAUUCGAGGGACCGAGGACCGCGCUCUGCAAGGAUGCUGGCGUAAUGGUCGUCAACGACCCGUCUUGAAACACGGACCAAGGAGUCGAACAUUUGUGCGAGUGUUUGGGUGUUAAACCCUCACGCGUAAUGAAAGUGAACGGAGGUGAGAGCCCUUACGGGUGCAUCAUCGACCGAUCCUGAUGUCUUCGGAUGGAUUUGAGUAAGAGCAUAACUGUUCGGACCCGAAAGAUGGUGAACUAUGCGUGGAUAGGGUGAAGCCAGAGGAAACUCUGGUGGAGGCUCGCAGCGGUUCUGACGUGCAAAUCGAUCGUCAAAUCUGCGCAUGGGGGCGAAAGUACGUAUUAUUCUAUACCUAUACACUUCUAUAACGACAUAUAUACUAACAGCUAUGCUUCUAGGACUUAUCGAACCAUGAAACCAGCGGUAAAUAUAUCUUACUAGGUGGUUAAGAGGUCCCCUGAAAAAGGGGGGCCUAGGUUGUGGGAGGUGCUACCCGGGAGCUACCCUGUAGUUACCCUGGAGCUACCCUGUAGACCGACAUCGCUAAAUUGCGGGGACAUCCUAUAUAUACAAGGCCGCGGGCUACCGCCUCGUGCUGAAAAGCAUGCUGGCACCAAGAAUAAUGCUCUUGGGUAUGGUAAGAACGCCCGCGGUACCGGAUUACCCGCAGCCAACCCCGUGCGAGGGGAGAGUUCACUGACUAAAUAGCGAUGGGUUGGCAUGGACUUGCCAGCUUAAGAUAUAGUCGAUUUGGCACCUGAAAAGG
RNAcentral lists this ribosomal RNA (940 nucleotides) under Hypoxylon sp. RNAcentral describes it as "partial large subunit ribosomal RNA". It matches the Rfam family "Eukaryotic large subunit ribosomal RNA", at positions 396 to 1409 of the family's 3401-position model. Lineage: Eukaryota; Fungi; Ascomycota; Sordariomycetes; Xylariales; Hypoxylaceae. The record is from RNAcentral.